This 191-nucleotide ribosomal RNA is filed under the name uncultured bacterium. RNAcentral's name for it is "partial 16S ribosomal RNA". It matches the Rfam family "Bacterial small subunit ribosomal RNA", at positions 1302 to 1500 of the family's 1533-position model. The record is from RNAcentral.
AGUCUGCAACCCGACUCCGUGAAGCUGGAUUCGCUAGUAAUCGCGCNUCAGCCAUGGCGCGGUGAAUACGUUCCCGGGCCUUGUACACACCGCCCGUCAAGCCAUGGAAGCCGGGGGCGCUUGAAGUGCGUUGCCGCAAGGCGCGCCCUAGAGCGAAACCGGUGACUGGGGCUAAGUCGUAACAAGGUAUC